CAGUACUUCUUUCUGUAAUUUUUGUUCUUUUAUUUUUUUCCAUUCUAUUGAGAUAUAAUUGACAUGCAUCCCUGGAUAAGUUUAAGGUGUACAGUAUAAUGGUUUGACUUACCUCUAUCGUGAAUCUUGUUCUCCUUUGCAAAAAUUCAUACAGAUACUUAGCAUAAAAAAUUAAGACAAUGAGCCAAAAGAUACCCCUAGAUACUUUUUCUGUAAAUAAAAAAUUCCCCACGUCCCUCUCCCUUAUCUCCUUCUCUGGGAUAUGCCAUAAUUGCUCAAGUACAGUGAGAUAGUUGGUUGUACAAGUAGAAAAGACAAUUUAUUAACUUUGGAUCCUUUUUGUAGAUGGUGAAGUUGAUUCAGAAUUCUAAAUUGUUUAGGGGCACCUGGCUGGCUCAGUCAGCGGAACAUGACUCUUGAUCUCGGGAUGGUGGGUUUCAGCUCAGUGUUGGGUGUAGAGACUACUUAAAAAUAAAAUGUUUUAAAAAAAAAUUCUAAAUUGUCCAAACUCUAAAUCCUUUCUGAGGGCUUACCAUGGAUUCAAAGUCAAUAUCUAUAGGAAAUACAGCACAGAGCAGAGGAAGUAGUUAAUGCCUUUUUGUUAAGUGAAAUUGAAUGAAUAAAGCCUUGAGCCUGAAUUAAGAAUGUGCUGGGAAAUAGAGAUUUGGAGAACAAUUUUAGGCUCCCCCCCCCCCCCGAAUUACCAGGGAUAUGAAAUCUCGAAUAAAUUUCAUCUGGAGUUCUCAGGAAGCUGGGACGACUAGUGGAAUCAGGAAUAAAGUUGUAACGUGACAUGGGACGACCACUUCUCGUUCUCAGCUGUCUUACCCACAGUUCCCGCAUGCAGCUUUGGUGUGACUCAGCCCUGUGUCCCGGAGUGAGCCCUCCGUGACAGUGGGCCAGAGCCUUCAUUCUGUUCCUGAGGAAGAAAUAGUAUCCUGAAGGAGUCCAGAAAAGUUGGACAAUUAAGUAAAUAUUUUUGCUCAAAAAACA
Molecule: long non-coding RNA, 993 nt
Organism: Panthera uncia (snow leopard)
Lineage: Eukaryota; Metazoa; Chordata; Mammalia; Carnivora; Felidae
Exons: 2
Source: RefSeq, a predicted model, not a curated record